Molecule: non-coding RNA, 25 nt
Filed under: Cricetulus griseus (Chinese hamster)
Lineage: Eukaryota; Metazoa; Chordata; Mammalia; Rodentia; Cricetidae
Source: RNAcentral
CCGUCAGCACCCAAAGCUGAAAUUC